CCUGAGCGUGGGGCAGCUGUGGUCUCAACACUGACCCGCCUUUCAUUGUCACAUCAUUCGUCAUGUGGCUGCUCAGGAGCUAGGCCCCCAUCUCCAUCCGGGUCUCCUUGUCCUUUCCUGUUCUACCUACCCCAUAGCCCUUGACCUCUAAUGUGCUCAGCACCAAGCCCACAUGAUUGGAUGGCCCACAUGAUUGGACGGCCCACAUGGACUGGUGCUGCUGUCUUGCCUCUGCUGUGUCAGCAGCCGGCACGGAGCCUGGCAGAUAAGGAGGGCUCACUCCGUAAGUAUUUGUUAGUUGUUGAGUGGAACUGAGAGGCCGGAAUCGGGGGCUGGGAACCACAUAAGGGUUCUGGGACCUUCUCAGUAGGUGAAGGGUCUGCCUGGUGAAGGGAGCAUGCAUGCUACACAGUGUGGGGGAGGGAUACCCUUGGUCCUUUCCCUGGGUGGGGGGGGGGGGGUCAGGCCAGAUGCAUUUCCAUCCGGGUCCAGUUUGCACCACCUCUCUGCUUUCUUCCAGGCACCAGCCAUCUCCCUUAGGAGAAUCUCCCUGGGUCCCAACGUUGGCAGUCACCAGCGGACGGAGCCGCAGUGCCCCCAGCUAGCCAAUUCCAAGCAGAAGGCAACGGGCUGUUGGCCUGGCAUGGGAAGGCCCGUGUUUCCGUCCAUGGCCACCUCUGGACCUGUUCAUUCAGAGACCUCUGUUGAGCCCGUCCUCUGCCCAGGCUCCGCUACCUCAGCACGGCCUCAUGGGAGGACCACGUGA
Molecule: long non-coding RNA, 766 nt
Filed under: Oryctolagus cuniculus (rabbit)
Lineage: Eukaryota; Metazoa; Chordata; Mammalia; Lagomorpha; Leporidae
Description: lncRNA (ENSOCUG00000035754.1)
Source: RNAcentral